UAUCGGUCUGCUUUUAAUAUUGUCUGAAGAUUGCAUGUAAUUCAUACGGGUAUAACACACAUUUAAGAGUCAUCAUACAAAAUGUUGUCAUUAAAAAUAUUUUAUUAAAAACAUAGUGAGCCAAUUACUUAUUAAUAUGCAGCUCAUCCAUUUAUUUCUUUUUGGUACAUAAGUUACAAAUUAGAUUUUAUUUAUCUUGGAUUGACACUAGCACAAGGAAGUCGUUAGUAUAAUAAACAGCUAUUUUCUCUACUGUGUAAGUAGAUGAUGUAUGAUCCAUUUUUUUAAAUACCAAAGAGCUGUUGCUGCAAACCACUCUUUUCUUGUCAGCUACUAAUGUCUGACCUCUACCCCUUUUAGCUGAAUGGUUCUAUUGGUCAUUAACGGUAGAAGACGGCUCACUCAGCUUUCUUUUCACAUCAGUUAAGGUUAGUGUUAUGAGUUUGUUAGAACCGGGCACUGCUGGAGGCAGCAGAGAGACAGUGCUUGAUACACAGCACACCCAUUAUUUUUCUCACAUUUUGCAGUAUAACUUUAUAAAAAAAAAAAAAGAAAGAAAACAACAACGGGAGAGUAAAUGUCAUGAAAGUGGCGUGCUGUUCAAACAAAACUUGUGGGUUUAUUACAUCGACAACCACAGUGCAGGUCAUUUCAGUCACUUGCUUACAGCCUAUUUGUGAACAUUUCUUUUAUUCUCUUUCUGACAGAUGAAAUCCUUUCUUCACAUUUUUGUCAUUUACUUUCCAAUGAUAAAGCUCAACAAUUAAAUUAUCCCACUAAUAUGUGUUGCUAAGUACACAGCUUGGCAUUUUCAGUGCAUUAAAAGGCAUUGUAAGAAUAAUUUAUCUGUAUAGCAUCUUUCACUGACAUCAAACAACAUAAUUUCAUCACGACUAGAUAUCAAAUUUAAGAUUAGAAUUUAAUAAUAAUGAAUAAUAAUGGAUUGCAUUUAUAUAGCGCUUUUUGGGGCCCUCAAAGCACUGUACAAUUCCACUAUUCAUUCACUCUCACAUUCACACACUGGUGGAGGCAGCUACAGUUGUAGCCACAGCUGCCCUGUGGCAGACUGACAGAAGCGAGGCUGCGAUAUCGCGCCAUCGGCCCCUCUGGCCAUCACCAGUAGGCGGUAGGUGACACAGGAAUCAAAAUGAAGUAAAUAGUGGAAAAAUCAACAGUAUUUAGUACAUUACUUUAUUGUAUACUUAAUGCAUUCUACAAAAAUAAAAAAAUAAAAAAAUGUAUCGCACAUCCAUUUGUAAAACAACAAACAGACAAACUGAACGUUACCUUUAUGCUCUUCAUUGACGUAGCUUUCUAUAAAUCUGAAGCUAUGGGAUGGGCCAAAGUGUUCAAAGACAGAUUUUCAGACAGAUUGUCUCACAACUUAACAAGAACAGACAGCUCCCUUUUUGCCUCCAAUGAUUGUUCGGAGACCUCAGACAAACCCCUUCUUGAAAUUUGGAACCUACAUGGAGCUCUCCAUCUCAGUGAGUAAGUAUAGUUAGGUCCCAGGCAGACACCGUGAAAUGGGCACUGCUCUGGAUCACAGAGCAGGCCAGUGAGCCCAUACUACUCAUAGCUGGUCCAUUUACCAUGGCCCAUUAGUAAGAUCAUACUCUGCUGGCUACACAGCACUGCCAUUCAUUCA
Long non-coding RNA from Astatotilapia calliptera (eastern happy), 1648 nucleotides. Lineage: Eukaryota; Metazoa; Chordata; Actinopteri; Cichliformes; Cichlidae. The record is from Ensembl.